This 633-nucleotide ribosomal RNA is filed under the name Triticum aestivum (bread wheat). RNAcentral describes it as "partial small subunit ribosomal RNA". Lineage: Eukaryota; Viridiplantae; Streptophyta; Magnoliopsida; Poales; Poaceae. The record is from RNAcentral.
AUGGCAGCUCCAAGAGCACUCGUCCUCGGCUUCCUGCUGGUGAUCGCCAUCGCCAACGCCGAGGCGGCGUCCAUCGUCGUCGGCCUGGCCAAGUGCGCCGACUGCACCAGGAAGAACAUCAAGGCAGAGGAAGCCUUUAAGGGUCUUCAGGUGGCGAUCAAGUGCAAGAACGUCAACGGCGAGUACGAGAGCAAGGCAGUAGGUACCCUUGACGGCACCGGCGCUUUCAGCGUGCCCGUGGCCGCCGACCUCCACAGCGCCGACUGCGUCGCGCAGCUCCACAGCGCCGCCUCCAACGCACCGUGCUCCGGCCAGGAGCCAUCAAAGAUCGUGCCGGUGUCUGAGGGCACCACCUUCGGGGUCGUUGCCGGCGCCAAGACGAACGUGCUGGCAUCGCCAGAGUGUGCGUCGGCGACCCUGUGCGGGCCGAUCAAGAAGCACAUCAUCGAGCACUUCCAUCACAAGAAGCCCGUGCCGCCCAAGCCGGAGCCCAAGCCCCAGCCCCACCCGGACUACGGCCCCGUGCCCAAGCCCGAGCCCAAGCCGCAGCCCCACCCGGACUACCACCCCGUCCCUCCCACGCCCACCUACGGCGGCGGCAGCGGCGGCGGUGGAUACCAUGGACACCACUGA